This 215-nucleotide long non-coding RNA is filed under the name Elaeis guineensis (African oil palm). RNAcentral's name for it is "long non-coding RNA (EGUI_LNC076019)". Lineage: Eukaryota; Viridiplantae; Streptophyta; Magnoliopsida; Arecales; Arecaceae. The record is from RNAcentral.
UACUUCAAAUUUUUAUCACGAACAGUCCGUGCUGGAUUCCCACCGUAAGCCUUCGCUCAAGCUUCCAUUAUGGACAAAUUCCUUUCGAAUUUCUGUUGUAGAUAGGCCUUGGCCGAUACUCCUCAGCAAAUGAUCCCCAUCCGGGCUACUACAGAGAUCGGACUCCAACCGAGACCUGGACUCCCUGGCAGGCCGUAGUAACGGCCACGACUCUG